CUCGGGGGCCGAGAGCUUUGCGAGCUGACCCCGCUUCCUUCUGGCUUUGCAGAACUUGGACCACGGGAAGGCCUGGGGCAUCCUGACCUUCAAAGCAAGUGUGUGCAGACGCCUCUUUUUCUUCAUCAGGGAAGACUGAGAGCGAGGCGCGGGAGAUCGAACACGUCAUGUACCAUGACUGGCGGCUGGUGCCCAAGCACGAGGAGGAGGCCUUCACCGCGUUCACGCCGGCGCCGGAAGACAGCCUGGCCUCCGUGCCGUACCCGCCUCUCCUCCGGGCCAUGAUUAUCGCAGAACGACAGAAAAAUGGAGACACAAGCACCGAGGAGCCCAUGCUGAAUGUGCAGAGGAUACGCAUGGAACCCUGGGAUUACCCUGCAAAACAGGAAGACAAAGGAAGGGCCAAGGGCACCCCCGUCUAGAAUGCCAGAACCAGCGGGUGGCCUUAGGGGCUGUGAGGCAGUGGGGACCUUAUUGAUGAAAGAAACCGUCUUUGCGUUACACCCGAGUCUGCCUCUCGGAGCAGGGAGCUCACCUUCCGCGACGUGUUCUGAGGGUCUGCAUCUUAGGGGGGAGGGCUGGGGCAAAUCGCCACCUGUGCCUUUCCUCUGGCCCUGCUGCCCCCACACCCAACUCCGAGGGCCCACGCUGGGGAAAGCGGGAAGCGCUCGCUCCCUUUCCCCCAUUAGUGCUCUCUCUGCCUGGAUCCCGGCAGAAGCUAUGAAAGGGAAUAAAGAGAAAAGAAGU
This 747-nucleotide long non-coding RNA is filed under the name Homo sapiens (human). Its description in RNAcentral is "HSALNT0226479". Lineage: Eukaryota; Metazoa; Chordata; Mammalia; Primates; Hominidae. The record is from RNAcentral.